RNAcentral lists this ribosomal RNA (460 nucleotides) under uncultured bacterium. RNAcentral describes it as "partial 16S ribosomal RNA". It matches the Rfam family "Bacterial small subunit ribosomal RNA", at positions 338 to 795 of the family's 1533-position model. The record is from RNAcentral.
CCUACGGGAGGCAGCAGUGAGGAAUAUUGGUCAAUGGACGAGAGUCUGAACCAGCCAAGUAGCGUGAAGGAUGACUGCCCUAUGGGUUGUAAACUUCUUUUAUAUGGGAAUAAAAUGUUCCACGUGUGGGAUUUUGUAUGUACCAUAUGAAUAAGGAUCGGCUAACUCCGUGACAGCACCCGCGGUAAUACGGAGGAUCCGAGCGUUAUCCGGAUUUAUUGGGUUUAAAGGGAGCGUAGGUGGAUUGUUAAGUCAGUUGUGAAAGUUUGCGGCUCAACCGUAAAAGUGCAGUUGAAACUGGCAGUCUUGAGUACAGUAGAGGUGAGCGGAAUUCGUGGUGUAGCGGUGAAAUGCUUAGAUAUCACGAAGAACUCCGAUUGCGAAGGCAGUUCACUGGACUGCAACUGACACUGAGGCUCGAAAGUGUGGGUAUCAAACAGGAUUAGAUACCCCGGUAGUC